RNAcentral lists this transfer RNA (93 nucleotides) under Candidatus Saccharimonadota bacterium. RNAcentral describes it as "tRNA-Ser". It matches the Rfam family "tRNA". Rfam says of the family: Transfer RNA (tRNA) molecules are approximately 80 nucleotides in length. Their secondary structure includes four short double-helical elements and three loops (D, anti-codon, and T loops). Lineage: Bacteria; Candidatus Saccharimonadota. The record is from RNAcentral.
GGAGGAGUACCCAAGUGGCUGAAGGGGACGGUUUGCUAAAUCGUUAGGGGGGAGUAAUCUCCCGCGAGAGUUCGAAUCUCUCCUCCUCCGCCA